AUUGAACGCUGGCGGCAGGCCUAACACAUGCCAGUCGAACGGUAACAGGAAGCAGCUUGCUGCUUUGCUGACGAGUGGCGGACGGGUGAGUAAUGUCUGGGAAACUUCCUGAUGGAGGGGGAUAACUACUGGAAACGGUAGCUAAUACCGCAUAACGUCGCAAGACCAAAGAGGGGGACCUUCGGGCCUCUUGCCAUCGGAUGUGCCCAGAUGGGAUUAGCUAGUAGGUGGGGUAACGGCUCACCUAGGCGACGAUCCCUAGCUGGUCUGAGAGGAUGACCAGCCACACUGGAACUGAGACACGGUCCAGACUCCUACGGGAGGCAGCAGUGGGGAAUAUUGCACAAUGGGCGCAAGCCUGAUGCAGCCAUGCCGCGUGUAUGAAGAAGGCCUUCGGGUUGUAAAGUACUUUCAGCGGGGAGGAAGGGAGUAAAGUUAAUACCUUGGCUCAUUGACGUUACCCGCAGAAGAAGCACCGGCUAACUCCGUG
Molecule: ribosomal RNA, 490 nt
Filed under: uncultured bacterium
Lineage: Bacteria
Description: partial 16S ribosomal RNA
Rfam family: Bacterial small subunit ribosomal RNA
Source: RNAcentral